GGCUCUUAUUUAGAAGGCGGGACUUAUUCCGCCAUAUUGCGCGUUACACUUUCUCCCCAUUCAAAACAAUACGAGUGACAUGUCUAAAGGAAAACACCUCCUCAUUAUCGGCUGACUCUAGAGAUAUUUGGCCAUUGGGUCUUCUGUUCUUUAUGCUUUUUUGUGACCGAGUUAUUGUCUUGAGGAGCUUGAGGAGCCCCCUUCACAAAAAAAAAGGAAAAACCACUGUUGUAGGGUAGCCUAUGAGAAACUGUUGCCGGGCAACAGAGGUGCAGUGUGCCUCUCUAAACAAUGCUGGACUUUAUCCAGUCCCCCAAAUCCAGGCUGACUCUUACACUGCCCGAUGAAAAUGAAACCUUUUGCUGAGUCCACCCCCACUUCUACAUCUGAAAAAGAGGAAGAGAGAGGGCUUCUGUCCCCCCAGAUGGCGAGACAAGAAGAAAAGUCAACCUCCUGGGCCGUCUCUAAGACCUAUCGUGGGAAGAUCUUCCGCAGUAAUCCAACAUACCACCCUGCCUAAAAAUGUCCCCAAGCAGACAGGAAGGAAGUCAUUUUUGAGUGGCAACACACACAGGAAAUCCACUUGAUAAAAGACUGCCACAAAAAGGAAAAUCACUUAUGCAGAGUGUCUUUGUAUGAGAAUACGUCUGGAUCUCUGUCCAUCUUUCCAGCUCGUUCAUCCUCAUGGAUUAACUAUCCACCUGAGGCUAUUCACCAGGCACACAAAGAUGGCCAAAGCUACCAAAAUCACCAUGGCAACCGCUAUUCUCCGGAUUGUCAUUGUCAGUGGAGGAAAUGAGAAAUGAUAGCCCCAUUUAGGAAUGUAAAGUGAGGACCCUUGAAACGGAAGCACCUCGAUGUCAUUAGAACAACGAUUUAAAAGAUUAGACUGAAUUACUGUUAGCUAUCAAGGUUAAGAGUAUAGGUUUAAGCACUCACUGUUUCUCCGCUUUGUCACGAUCGUCGAGGAAGAAAAGGGCGGUGGCAAGGAAGAACAUCCCCCCCAGGACGAUGACAAAGGGGCAAAGCAUGAGGGCAUAUCCCAAGCUCAGGAACUGCCAUAACGCUGACGUAGCGUAGCUCUCCUGCAGUGAGUCUGAUAUCUGCAUGAACACACAGAGACACAAACAAAGGAGAACUCAUUAGCAAACAAAGGGAAAUUCUGCUGUGAGCCAUCAGUGACAUUAAUGCAAUAAUUAACUUCCUAAUAUUGUCUUCAAGAGCUGUGCUGUGUCAAUCAGUUACUGGGUGAAUGGUUAAUCCUUGUGUUAACUUGUCUUAAGCUAUUGGUAUCUGUUCAAUAGUAAGUCAAUAAAUCUAUAAAAAGACAAUUAGUUUGCAUAUGAUUAAAUUUAUCAUAAACUGAUUCAAUUUAAUGCUGUUUGUUCCCUCAGGAUUCACUCAGUCAAUAGUCAGCGACUGGUUCUUAAUGUUAAAGACCACAACAUAUUUCCUAUGUAACAUUAGCGAGAGAUAUUGCCAUUCUAGUGGGCAUCUGAUUGUACAAAAAUAGUACAAAUAGUGUAGUGCAGGAUGAGUCAGCAAUAUUUUUGUUCCUUUUUCCUGGAAAAUCAUUUUUAAAUGCAUACAUCUGCUAAAAUUAAUUUUGUCAACUUCUUACAGUAGCGUAUGGACCACAAAACUCAACUUUUUUAUAACAGACCUGUGAACAAAAAAACAAAACAAAAACAAAGGGAUGUUUCUAGUGUUAAUAUGAUUAAAUGCUUUGUACUAGCCAUUCUAAUGUAUUAUAUUAUUAAAAAAUAAAGCAAAAGAUGUAUAUUUUGACACAAA
Megalobrama amblycephala (Wuchang bream) is the source of this 1794-nucleotide long non-coding RNA. RefSeq lists it as uncharacterized. The transcript has 4 exons. Lineage: Eukaryota; Metazoa; Chordata; Actinopteri; Cypriniformes; Xenocyprididae. The record is from RefSeq and is a predicted model, not a curated record.